UUAAUAGCGUGCUUCGUUUGACGUUAGCUGCAGAAGAAAGCACCGGCUAACUCCGUGCCAGCACGCCGCGGUAAUACGGAGGGUGCGAGCGUUAAUCGGAAUUACUGGGCGUAAAGCGCAUGCAGGUGGUUUGUUAAGUCAGAUGUGAAAGCCCGGGGCUCAACCUCGGAAUUGCAUUUGAAACUGGCAGACUAGAGUACUAGUAGAGGGGGGUAGGAAUUUCUAGGUGUAGCGGUGAAAUGCGUAGAGAUCUGAAGGAAUACCGGUGGCGAAGGCGGCCCCCCUGGACAAAGACUGACGCUCAGACUGCGAAAGCGUGGGGAGCCAAACAGGAUUAGAUACCCCUGGUAG
RNAcentral lists this ribosomal RNA (351 nucleotides) under uncultured bacterium. Its description in RNAcentral is "bacterial SSU rRNA". It matches the Rfam family "Bacterial small subunit ribosomal RNA", at positions 452 to 793 of the family's 1533-position model. The record is from RNAcentral.